CACGGGGGGAGCAAGCGUUGUUCGGAAUCACUGGGCGUAAAGGGCGUCUAGGCGGUCAGAUAAGUGGGAUGUGAAAUGCCCCGGCUCACCCGGGGACCGGCAUCCCAAACUGUCUGGCUUGAGUAUGGGAGAGGAUGUGGGAAUUCCUGGUGUAGCGGUGAAAUGCGUAGAUAUCAGGAAGAACACCAAUGGCGAAGGCAGCUCUCUGGGACGGUACUGACGCUGAGACGCGAAAGCGUGGGGAGCGAACAGG
RNAcentral lists this ribosomal RNA (253 nucleotides) under uncultured bacterium. RNAcentral's name for it is "partial 16S ribosomal RNA". It matches the Rfam family "Bacterial small subunit ribosomal RNA", at positions 524 to 776 of the family's 1533-position model. The record is from RNAcentral.